UACGUAGGGUGCGAGCGUUGUCCGGAAUUAUUGGGCGUAAAGAGCUUGUAGGCGGUUUGUCGCGUCUGCUGUGAAAAUCCGGGGCUCAACCCCGGACUUGCAGUGGGUACGGGCAGACUAGAGUGUGGUAGGGGAGACUGGAAUUCCUGGUGUAGCGGUGAAAUGCGCAGAUAUCAGGAGGAACACCAAUGGCGAAGGCAGCUCGCUGGGACGGUACUGACGCUGAGACGCGAAAGCGUGGGGAGCAAACAGG
RNAcentral lists this ribosomal RNA (253 nucleotides) under uncultured bacterium. RNAcentral's name for it is "partial 16S ribosomal RNA". It matches the Rfam family "Bacterial small subunit ribosomal RNA", at positions 524 to 776 of the family's 1533-position model. The record is from RNAcentral.